RNAcentral lists this non-coding RNA (31 nucleotides) under Mus musculus (house mouse). Lineage: Eukaryota; Metazoa; Chordata; Mammalia; Rodentia; Muridae. The record is from RNAcentral.
CGUCCCCGCUCGGCGGGGUCCCCGCGUCGUC